Triticum aestivum (bread wheat) is the source of this 1677-nucleotide RNA transcript. RefSeq lists it as uncharacterized. Lineage: Eukaryota; Viridiplantae; Streptophyta; Magnoliopsida; Poales; Poaceae. The record is from RefSeq and is a predicted model, not a curated record. The transcript has 4 exons.
UGUAGGAACAAGUUGAUCUGCUAUAAUCGGACGGUGCAGCACGCGGUUUACGCGUCGUGAGAAAUCAGUCGGGGGAAAAUAAACGUUUCCCCAUCCACAUUCCACAUCUCCGUCCACAAUACACGGAACCCUAAAUCGAUCGAGUUCCUCCCAUCCAGCGAUGGCCCUGGCGGCGACCACAAAAAAGAAGAACAAAGCAAUGGCCCCGGCGGCGCAGGGGGAGUGGUUCAUCAUGUACGGCAUCCCCAAGGUGUCGGGUGAGAUGAGCAAGGAAUUCCCCAAUGCGGCCUUCACCUUCAACGAGGUUCCGCUCCUUUCCCACCUAACCGUCCCGGGUAACGUCGCUACCCCCGCCGGAAGCGUCGACUACCCGUACAUCGCAGCUACCGACGACUGCGGCCUCCUGCUGCUCUGCGGUUACACCGUUGUCGGGCUCACCUACUACAUCUGCGACCCGUAUUUCCGUAGGACGCUGGGCAUCCUCCCCUCCGACGGCGGCUUCAACAGCCGCCACUCCGUCGGCCUCAUCCGCAAUCGCCGCGGCAGUGGGAUCAUGGUGGCCAUGCUCAACACGGGGCUCUUCAGUACACAGGCCCGCAUCACACUCUCCUGCACGAUUGACCUGUGCGAGUGGGUCAACAAGGAGGCCGACUGCGGCCACAUCAGGGAGACAAAACCGUGCUGCUGGGAUGGCGUCCUCUCCCACGAGGGAUUCCUGUGGUGGUUCGACCUCUCUUCUUGUAUACUUGCCUGCAACCCCUUCCUGGAUAGACCGACGUUUUACCAAAUCAUGUUCCCGCAUGUCUCUGCUUAAGCAGAUCCAUGGCGACCCCCCCCCCCCGAGUCAGCAUGUGGAAGCUGUCCUCCAACAAUCCGUCGGUCGCGUACUGGGAGUUUAAGCUUAAGGUGGACUUGACUGAUAUCUGGAGCCACCAGACCUACAAGUCUAGUAUGCUUCCGCAGAUCGUCCCCACGGUGGCGCUCGUCCACCCAAGGAAUGCCUACAAGGUUUACUUCUUCCUGGGCCAGCACAUCUUCUGUGUCAACCUGAAGAAAAAGAAACUGAUGCAGUGUCUGGAGUUGGACAAUCAGGAGCUGCCGUCACUCUCCUCCCUCGUGGUCCAUUCCUGGAAUUUGCCGGCAGGGACCACAAAAAUCCAUUCGUCUGGGCCUGAUGAGUCUCACGCCCCUGGGGUUCAUUUCCUGGUUCACUAUAACUCGGUGGAUGGUUUUCUUGAGAAAGCAGUAGCUGUCAUCAGCAGGUCGCGUCCUGAAUUGUUUGGCAUGGGUCUGGAUGAACUUGAAGAAGACGAAGAUCACUCUCUUACCAUGGAGGAAUCUGAUGACGGAGAUGACUCUGAGAUGGAGCAACUUGAAGAGGGCGGAAAUGACUGCGAGAUGACUGAGGAAUCUGAAGAGGACUGAGAUGAUGGAGGUGAUUUAGAUCCAAGUGUGGCAGCUGUUGUUACGCAGGGCUGCUUUGCGUGCCAGCCAGUGACCACCAUCCAUCACUUAUCGACUUGUCACUUCCACUUCUGUUUGCUCUUAUACUCCUAGACCAGUGGUUUGGCGUUCUGGAAGCAGCAUUGUUAUGCUAUAUACUCCUAUAUAUAUAUAUUAUACGAUGUUGUGACAAUAUGGUCAGCUCAGCCAUUUUAGCUUGUUAUAAGUUGGCAA